Molecule: long non-coding RNA, 331 nt
Filed under: Monodelphis domestica (gray short-tailed opossum)
Lineage: Eukaryota; Metazoa; Chordata; Mammalia; Didelphimorphia; Didelphidae
Description: lncRNA (ENSMODG00000051327.1)
Source: RNAcentral
UGAGAACAAACAGGUACAUAAGAGACGCAUGCCAAGGAUGGAAGGUAACCUUAAGAGGGCAAGGCUAGAACGACAGGGAAAACCCUCCUGGAGAAGGUGGCAUUUGAGUAAAGAAACAGAGAUUCUGAGGGCCAGAGGUCUGGCUCUCAAUCCACUGAGCAAUCCAGCUGCCUACCUUGAGGCUACUUCUUCAAGGAUGGUGCCUCUCAACUCUGGUCCUAAGACAGGUAGGUGAUUCUUAUCAUAUCCUGUCUAGGUAGAUUUGGAAGGCACAGCACCACUCAAUAAUAUUUCCAGCACACAUGGCCUUUGGCAAAUUAUUUAAUCUCAG